This 467-nucleotide long non-coding RNA is filed under the name Rattus norvegicus (Norway rat). RNAcentral's name for it is "long non-coding RNA NONRATT016595". Lineage: Eukaryota; Metazoa; Chordata; Mammalia; Rodentia; Muridae. The record is from RNAcentral.
AUCCAGCUGCCAAUAUAGGGCAGCCCAAUCCGGUCCUCCUGAGCGACCAGGACCUCCACAGAGGGCACAGCAGAUGCCAGGCACUAAGGGCCGGCCCCCGCUGGGUGACCUGCCUGGCCCAGGAGAUGGAAGCUUGCAGCUGGUAGUGCCUUCCAGGCCUGCCCCACCACCCCCAGCAGCAUCUUCGCUCUACCUCUGACCCCUCGAGAUUCGGCUGUCUCCUGCUCAGUUCUAGGACUUAAAGUGGAACCUCUGUCUGAAUCUCCCACAAAACACUAGAGAAGCAGAAGCUUAGACAAUAUGGCAUCCAGCCCUAAAGAACCACCAGGCGCUGUUCAGUAGUACCUGGGACCCACUGAAUUACCUGCAGCUGAGUGUUGGGAAGGGGCUGGGGCUGGAGUAGGUGGUGGAAGGACGGGAAUGUGGUCUGUCUCUGCUCUGUUGUAAUAAAUGUGAGGUCUUGGAAU